GAACGUUAAGACGGCUUCGGCCGUGUAUAGAGUGGCGAACGGGUGAGUAACACGUGACCACCUGCCCCGCGCUCCGGGACAACCGCUGGAAACGGCGGCUAAUACCGGAUGCGCCCCAUGGCGAAAGCCCCGCGGCGCGGGAUGGGGUCGCGGCCCAUAGGUAGACGGCGGGGUAACGGCCCACCGUGCCCGCGAUGGGUAGCCGGACUGAGAGGUCGACCGGCCACAUUGGGACUGAGAUACGGCCCAGACUCCUACGGGAGGCAGCAGUGGGGAAUUUUGCGCAAUGGGGGAAACCCUGACGCAGCAACGCCGCGUGCGGGACGAAGGCCUUCGGGUUGUAAACCGCUUUCAGCAGGGAAGACAUAGACGGUACCUGCAGAAGAAGCUCCGGCUAACUACGUGCCAGCAGCCGCGGUAAUACGUAGGGGGCGAGCGUUAUCCGGAUUCAUUGGGCGUAAAGCGCGCGUAGGCGGCCGCCUAAGCGGACCUCUAAUCCCGGGGCUCAACCUCGGGCCGGGUUCCGGACUGGGCGGCUCGAGUGCGGUAGAGGCAGGCGGAAUUCCCGGUGUAGCGGUGGAAUGCGCAGAUAUCGGGAAGAACACCGAUGGCGAAGGCAGCCUGCUGGGCCGCCACUGACGCUGAGGCGCGAAAGCUGGGGGAGCGAACAGGAUUAGAUACCCUGGUAGUCCCAGCCGUAAACGAUGGGCGCUAGGUGUGGGGGGACAGCCCCC
RNAcentral lists this ribosomal RNA (734 nucleotides) under uncultured bacterium. Its description in RNAcentral is "bacterial SSU rRNA". It matches the Rfam family "Bacterial small subunit ribosomal RNA", at positions 64 to 841 of the family's 1533-position model. The record is from RNAcentral.